GAUGAACGCUAGCUACAGGCUUAACACAUGCAAGUCGAGGGGUAACAAGAGAAAAGCUUGCUUUUCCUGUUGACGACCGGCGCACGGGUGAGUAACGCGUAUCCAACCUGCCCAUAACUAGGGAAUAACCUUGCGAAAGUAAGACUAAUACCCUAUAAUUUCCUUUGACGGCAUCUGACGAGGAAUAAAGAUUUAUCGGUUAUGGAUGGGGAUGCGUCUGAUUAGCUUGUUGGCGGGGUAACGGCCCACCAAGGCAACGAUCAGUAGGGGUUCUGAGAGGAAGGUCCCCCACAAUGGAACUGAGACACGGUCCAAACUCCUACGGGAGGCAGCAGUGAGGAAUAUUGGUCAAUGGGCGGAAGCCUGAACCAGCCAAGUAGCGUGCAGGAUGACGGCCCUAUGGGUUGUAAACUGCUUUUAUACAGGAAUAAAGUUAGCCACGUGUGGUUAUUCGUAGGUACUGUAUGAAUAAGGACCGGCUAAUUCCGUGCCAGCCGCCGCCGUAA
Molecule: ribosomal RNA, 506 nt
Filed under: uncultured bacterium
Lineage: Bacteria
Description: partial 16S ribosomal RNA
Rfam family: Bacterial small subunit ribosomal RNA
Source: RNAcentral